This 469-nucleotide ribosomal RNA is filed under the name uncultured bacterium. RNAcentral describes it as "partial 16S ribosomal RNA". It matches the Rfam family "Bacterial small subunit ribosomal RNA", at positions 28 to 507 of the family's 1533-position model. The record is from RNAcentral.
GAUGAACGCUGGCGGCGUGCUUAACACAUGCAAGUCGAACGGUGAACACGGAGCUUGCUCUGUGGGAUCAGUGGCGAACGGGUGAGUAACACGUGAGCAACCUGCCCCUGACUCUGGGAUAAGCGCUGGAAACGGCGUCUAAUACUGGAUAUGUGACGUGACCGCAUGGUCUGCGUUUGGAAAGAUUUUUCGGUUGGGGAUGGGCUCGCGGCCUAUCAGCUUGUUGGUGGGGUAAUGGCUCACCAAGGCUUCGACGGGUAGCCGGCCUGAGAGGGUGACCGGCCACACUGGGACUGAGACACGGCCCAGACUCCUACGGGAGGCAGCAGUGGGGAAUAUUGCACAAUGGGCGCAAGCCUGAUGCAGCAACGCCGCGUGAGGGAUGACGGCCUUCGGGUUGUAAACCUCUUUUAGCAGGGAAGAAGCGAAAGUGACGGUACCUGCAGAAAAAGCGCCGGCUAACUACGUG